AAUAUCACCAACAUUAAUAACUGUUAGUGACGAGGACGACGGCGACAAGAUUAAUAAGAAUGGCGAUCAGGAGGGCGAGGUCGACGCCUAUAUUAAAACCAAUUUCUCAAUUGUCGGCCUUAUAAAUUCAAGCGCUGUCUUUCCACAGCCCCAAGAUUCGCCAUUUAUAGAGCAAUCAAUUUCGACCACAAGUUUGCCGCUGUUAUUUAAAUUAAUGGAGACUUUUAUCGAAAAAGAUGCAUCUACCGGUGGCUAUAAAACCAAACGGCUGCAGUUAAAUUUAGAAACGCGUACCGCGCUCAAAAAGAAGAAAUUAAGUCAUCCCGACGUCGCCUCUCAAUCAACUCCGUCCUUAAGAAAAUCUACCUGGCUGAAAGAUACAAUAUCGUCCUUAAAUCGACUUGUUAAAGGCGAACGGCUUAACAAUACCAUUGUUAAUGCUUGCAUGCAUAUUUUGGCCAUAAAACAUAGAUUUUGUUUCUUUAAUAGCCAUUUUCUCCUUCAGUCAGGGCCGCCCAUCUCGUGGAAGCGGAAGGCUGAAUAUGGAAAUCCCCUGCAGUCGGACCUUGUUUUAAUACCUAUUUACGAAAAUAAUCACUGGUACCUCUUGGUUAUAUAUAAGUUGGAUAUUGGAAAUAGGGCGCAAAAGGAUCGAAUAAUCUGUUUUUUCGACCUUUUAAAAUUAACCUUACGGUCCUAUAAACGUAUUUUUAUAUAUUGGACGUAAUACCUCAGCGAUUUCGGUUAUUAAGGAGCUGUGCACCGAAAACAAAUCACGUUUCCCCAACAGUUUAAUUUUGUUAAUUGCGGAAUUUUUAACAUUGCAUUCGCCUACCAGAUUACUGAAAAUCGUCAAAGGUUUGUCAAUGUUGUCGAAAGCGGGACAGGUUUAGACUGGACCAUCGACGCACCCAAAUGGCGUAUAUAUAUACGGUCUGAGCUAGAGCCCACCUACGACGACAGUUCCGCUAUUUUAUAUUACAAACCUAAAAAUACCAGGGAAGGUAAUAAUAAUACCCGCAUAAAGGUGGUUUCGGCCUACUAUAUUUUAAAAGUUUUGCCGAAAGUUUCGAAACAAACCUUGCCGUUAGCGACAAUUGCGUCUUCCGUGGACGCCGCUGUGGAUCCAGACCUCGUAAUGGGCCAUAAUAUAACUAUAACCAAUAUAUUUGCUGUUUUAUCCCCCCCAAAUUACUAUUAUUAUUAAAAGGCGGCGUAACUAUUAAUUUGUAAAUAAAAAGAAACUUUAAAUCGCAACAGGAUUGCUAAUAUUAAUCUGCGGUUAAUAGGGCCAAUUCUGAAAUCUCCCUAUAAACGAUAAUAUGCUUUAGUCUAGAUAUUCGCUAUUUAUAUCGCGUACAUUUGCGAAAUCGUUAACGCCAUCCUUAACGCCAAUUUCGCCUCCCUUUUAAUUUAUUCCAAUGCAAAUUACUACCGAGAAAAAGGAGCAGGUAAUGCAGAAAAAAGCUGCAUUACAGGAUAGUAACAAGCUAUUUUCACACCCUAUAUUUACGUUAUCGUUACUAAAUACUACUGCGGCUACCCUUUUUGAAAUUUUUUCAAUUUUAUCGCGGGAAAAAAUCGAGAGAUUGCGGGCUGCCCAUCCCCAAAACUUAACUAAAAAGGUACAAAAGGUUUUUAAUUGGAUUUUCCAAUACGCCUUAUAUUUCGGGCAAGGCGAUGGAUGGGUACAAUUUAUAUAAAAAAACUGGACAGACCAUUCCCAACCCUAUCCUACCUUUUACCAAUUAAUUGUUUGCCCCGCUGUUUACCCCUUUCCGCGAACCCGAACAUUCCGGUCCUGGUAACCUUUAACAAUUUUCACAUUCCAAUCGCUUGUCCAUAUCGAGUUUAAUAUGGCAAACCAGCCAAAUUGCACCGGAUACCAUAGGUGUUUAACGUCCGCGUCCGCAGCCUUUGCCUAUCCCAUCGGCAAAUCUUAAAAUGGCAUCCACGGCCCUAAACCGCAGUCGACAGGGAAAAAACGGUAUCCUAUCGUCCCCAACCCGACAGGACGACAUAUUAUUAAUAAAAAUUGGCGCUAUUGUAAAUUGUAUAUUUGGUAGGAAUUAAACGUGGUUUAUAAUAUUUUAUUUAUUAUUAUUGCAAUAAAAUUAAUUAAAAUAUUUGUACGCAAAUAAUCUCCUAAUUUCCACGGCUUUAAAAGGCCACAAAUCCACGUUUAACAUUCCAUAAUCGUUUUUAAAUACUACGACCCUAAAUUUUAAUUAGCAUACCGAUUUCCACAAUAUUUAGGUGGAAUUGCCGCCAAACACAUACCUGCCAGCGCCGCUGUUAAAAAAUGUUAACCCCAACCCGACUCCAAAAGUUAUUUCUAGCUCCUUACCCAAUUAUUUAACCUACGCGGUUCGACCAGAAAUAUUAAUGCGCGCAACGGGUAAUAAUAACUUGUGGAUUAUAUUCACGGUACCAUAUAACGGGAAUCCCCCAUUUGCUAAAUAUUUCCGAUUUGGGUACCAUUUAAGUUAAUUAGUUAAAAAACCUAUUACCUAUUUAUUAUAAUAAAACAAAUUACAAUGGCGAAUUUUAAUUAAUAUAACAUUUCCCUAUCGUUUGGUUAUAACGUUAAACCCCAUAUACCCUAAUAUGCCCGUUUUUUUUGGUGCCCACCCAGUUAGUUUUUCGACCAGGUUUAUAUCCAUUUAAUUUGCGGCCGAUACAUCCAUUAUAAUAUUUUCGUUGCCCUCGAAACAUUCCCAUAUUUCCGAACAUUUAAAAUUUCCGUACCGCAUUUAAAGGCCGGCAAUUUUAUUCAAUUUUUAUAUUUUAACGAAAUCGAUAUAUUUUUCGAAAAAUUAAUCUAGGUUGUGGCAGGAGAAGUCCGGAACAUCGCCUUUUUGGAAUUUAUAGGUUUGAAAUUUUAAAUUAACCACGACGAAAAUAUGUCCGUGAACGUAUUUAUCGAUUAUAUCCUUAAUUGGAAUAGGUUUUGUUCGGCGGCAGAUAGGCGACUUGCCGUCGAUUCCGUACAAAAUUAUACCUUUAGGGAGAGGAAAAUGGCUAUGGGCAGAGUGGAUAUAUAACAGAUUAAAUAAAUUAUAUUUGUCGAUUAUUAAAAAGAAAGUGCUCAAAUGCUCUUUAAAUAUUUUAUCUUCGUCGUUAAGGUCUUUAUCGUCAAUGAAAAUAUUGUAUUUAUAAUCGAAUUAGCAAACGCGUAUUAGCGAGGUGCGGGGAGAAUAACGACGCCUUACUACGCUAUUUUACGUGGGAGGCAAAUGCUCCGAAUUAUUUGGAGCUCGAAAAUGCCCUUUUGAAAGCGUUUCGUAAACUGCCGUGGGAAGAGAUAUUUAUUAACUCGGUUUUAAAUAGGCUUCGGACCCGGCCAAAUUACAAAAUUAAAUAAUUAAAGGAGAUUAUCAACCAUUAUAUAAAUAUAAUGGCUUCCAUAUUUGGUUUGUUACCAUUAACCGAGGACGAGAAGGAUAAAGGACGGAAAGGGAAAAAGAAUAAACCAGAAAUACAAAAUAAUAUAAUGGAGGCUAUUAUGGAAAAUUUUAUAAAAGGGGCCAGAUCGAUUUUUGAAAAAGCCUAUUGGAGGAGCUCCCCUUCGAAAACCGCUUUAUCGAUGGGGUAAUAUAUGCGAAUAUAUCUUUGCAGGCAUUUUUCCUCGAAAUAUAAAAUGCUAAUUAAGAUUAUUAUAUGGCGGUGCGAAAUUUGGAAAGUAUAAACGAUAAGAUUUGCUUAAAAUGUUAAAUUUAUUUUCUUAUAAGAAAUUAUAUUUAUAAUCGUUAUUUUAAUUUAUUAGCAACUGUUGUACUUUUUUUAACAAGUUGCAUUGGGGAGGAUAUGGGGACCGUUUCUGGCCUCAAAUUAAUUAAAUCCCAAGGGCUGGGAUUAGCUAAUACCCACUGUAAUUUAACUACAACCAAAAAAGGUUGGGUCGGAACUGGGACACGCCAAAUGGAUCCGCGCCUCCCCGUUCCCGAUUAACUUAAUACGCAAAUCCAGUGGAAAACUUAUACAAUAUUUCUUUUCGUGCGGCUAACCUAUUAAAUACUCCCGAUAAACUUAUAUAAUAGCCCGGUUAAUAUAAUAUAUUAAAUGGUCUUUUAUUUUUGCUCAAACCUCCUACACCCAUUCGAACUAGCUAAUUAUAACGUCCCGCCCGGUUUCCAGGCGCAUUUAUUUUACAAAAACCAUUGCGGCUAAUGCAAUAUAGCUACCAUUACUGCCAAAAACUGGAAAAAUUCCGAACGCGAAUUCCUCGUUAAUAAUAAUACCUUUCGGAAACGGAGUUUACGUCCUAAUAAAUAUAUCGUUAAUAUUAAAGGGGACCUUUUUGUCCCACGACAGGGCUACGAACGGCUGCAAAACGAGGCGGUAUACAUCCGCUUCAUUCGAGAAAAUACCGAAAUCCCGGUGCCCGAAAUCUUGCAAGUUUAUAACGACAAAGGCGCCUUUGUCCUCACUAUAAAACGGUUGCAUAAUAUCGAAAUGCGCGAAUUAAAUGCCGAAUAGCAAUUUAUUAUUAUGGGGCAGGUUAAGUCCCAUUUGCACACCCUCCGAUCGCUCCGGGGUAUUUAUAUAGGCGGCCCUACCGGCAUUAUCUGUCCGCCUCCAAAGGUAAUUUAAUAGUUCCCCGAGGGCACGACGUGGACCUUAACCGCCCCUGGUCCCGAAGGGCCUAAUCUGGUUUUUUGCCAUGGCGACCUUUCCCAAAGCAAUAUUCUCGUCGACCCCAAAAUUUUCAAAAUCGAGGCUAUUAUUAAUUGGGAAUUUGCUGGCUUUUGGCCAAAGGAUUUCGAGGCGCCUUAUUUCAGAAACCCCAGUCCUUCUGGGGCCCAAUUUACCCAACGCGCCUCAAAUGCCCAAUUAAUAAUUUUUAUAAAAAGCCAAGGCCACAAACUGGAUAAUUAAUUAAAACCGGGAUAAGUUAGUUAAAUGGGGAUGGUUUUUGGUAUCCGCAGGCCAAACGCAGUUUCGAAAUUACUAUGUUUUUUUAUCUGUUUACCACACCGUUUUACUAAAAUUCCUAAUAUUUAAGUCGGCGGCCAGCGAAAUAUUUGCACAGAUAGGGUAAUGGAGGCACGUCCCAAUUUAUAAAUAGGUUUAAUUACCAAAACUUUUUAAAUUACCGGAAUAUUAUAUUGGCCAUCCGAACAUUUUAAAAACUAACAGCGAAUAAAAUACAAAAUAAUACAUUUUCCAAUUAUUACCCCUCCAAUUUCAGUUAAAAUUAAAUAUUAAACGAAUUGGGCAAAUAACGUUAUUUAAACACUGUUAUAAUUAUAUUGCAAAAUAGUAGUUAGCUCCUAUAAUAAUACCAAUAGGGAUAAAAAUAUAAUUGGUUACUUUAAUAUAUUGGCACAGGACUGAAUUAUACCACUGGGCUCCCUCCAAUUGUAACCAGACAUUGCCCGCGUACCAAUAUCGUCCGUUCGUGUCAAUUUCCAUUACAGGAUAAUUUCAAAUAAAUAACCAAAUCUGGCGAAUUUAACCCAUAUUUAAUUAUAUUAUAAUAACCAAAUUAUAUAAACCCAACGUGUAUUUAUAAAAAGGGAGAAAUAAAAGGGGAGUGAAAAUUAGUUCCUGGUUAUUAUAUACCCUGCCGACCUCCAUCUUUCACCAUAGCAUUAAUAUAUUCGUCCCUACUGCUUGGGGCAGCAAAUAAUAUGGAGGAGGAUCGCAUCCGGCUCGCCUAUAUAUGGAUUAGCUUAGGUUACGUUAUUUAUAACACCCUUAUUUUAUAUCGGAUAAAUUCCCCGUCUUAUUCCAAUAACAAAGACAACCUCCUUUCGACAUGGACUGGUUCCUGCAUACGUUGGAAAUUGCGUCGAAAUAAACCCGGUUAUAAUUGGCCCAAUAAUGGCAGGUAUAAAUAACCCUUAUUUGGGACAAAAUGUGUUUGGAAAUAUAUUGGGGGACUGCCCCUUCCUUUUAUAUUUCGUUCCUGUUUGGGUUAAUUAUUUUCGGAAGGUUUUGGGCCUUUAAAACUCAAAAAUUUUAUAAAUAAGAAGUGGUUUUGCUCGCUCCUCCCAUUUAAUAAUUAUUAUACCCUAUAAACCAGACCUAUUACCUAUUUCUCCCAGAUUCCAUCUAAUUAAAAUUUAUAACAUUUACCGCAAAAACCGGAAAAUGUUCGAGUUUUAUUUUCACAAUAUACUUUUAAAAAUCGUCAAAUACCAGAAAUGCGAUACCAGUUUGUCGGACACCCAAACAACGUACCCGAGCUGUGGUUUUACCAUUCUUUACACGAAAUAAAUACAAUUUAUUCCUCCCCAUAAAUAUAACGGUAAAAUUAUUCCGUAAUUAAUUCGUUUUAAUAACCAAAUACAAUUUCGACUUUACGGUAUAUCCCAUAUAAGAAGGUAGUGGUAUGGGCUGGGAUAACGGUAGUAUUUCGGAAAAUUUGAGAAAAUUGGUUAGGUUAGACUGGAAAUUUGAAGUUUUUUAAAAUAUAUAUUAAAAGUUCAAACUUUGACGUCCUUGCCCAUCAAACUGGGGUCCUCCCAUUAUAUUAAAUUAAAUUUUACUGUCCGACUAUAUAUUUCGUGCGUUGCAGGGCCCAAAUAGUCCGCUUCCCUGGUUAAUUUUAGGUUUCGUGCGGGUUUGUCCGGCGUGGUUAAUUGAAAAUAUAAUAUUACGUUCGCCAAACGUAUUAUAUCUUGCUUUGACAAAAAUCGUAAUUGGGACCCAUUUAUUCCAUUAAUUUCAAUUCCCUAUUUGGUACCCCUUAUAAAAUAAUGGUUUUACAAAUAAUGUUCGAAUCCAGGAAACAAAUCUUGUCCAUUAUUCUCACGUUUUUAUUAUUUCUAUUUAAUAUACUUUAUUAUAUCAGUAGUUAAUAUUAGCCUAAUUAGUUAUUUAUAUUCGAAAAAAAAACAACUCUUGGUAUAAAACACCAGAUAAAAGCCCCUCGUACGCAAACCAAGGUUUGGUAGGAUAUUUUUAACCAGUUAACCGUGGCUGCCCCCAAUAGCAGCAUAAUAUAACCAAGGUAUAUAUAAAUUUAAAACUAUUA
Molecule: small RNA, 6982 nt
Filed under: Pyricularia oryzae
Lineage: Eukaryota; Fungi; Ascomycota; Sordariomycetes; Magnaporthales; Pyriculariaceae
Description: Magnaporthe oryzae sRNA M_BR32_EuGene_00135371
Source: RNAcentral